AACGAACGCUGGCGGCAUGCCUAACACAUGCAAGUCGAACGAGACCUUCGGGUCUAGUGGCGCACGGGUGCGUAACGCGUGGGAAUCUGCCCUUGGUUCGGAAUAACAGUUAGAAAUGACUGCUAAUACCGGAUGAUGACGAAAGUCCAAAGAUUUAUCGCCGAGGGAUGAGCCCGCGUAGGAUUAGCUAGUUGGUGAGGUAAAGGCUCACCAAGGCGACGAUCCUUAGCUGGUCUGAGAGGAUGAUCAGCCACACUGGGACUGAGACACGGCCCAGACUCCUACGGGAGGCAGCAGUGGGGAAUAUUGGACAAUGGGCGAAAGCCUGAUCCAGCAAUGCCGCGUGAGUGAUGAAGGCCUUAGGGUCGUAAAGCUCUUUUACCAGGGAGUGAUAAUGACAGUACCUGGAGAAUAAGCUCCGGCUAACUCCGUGCCAGCAGCCGCGGUAAU
Molecule: ribosomal RNA, 450 nt
Filed under: uncultured bacterium
Lineage: Bacteria
Description: bacterial SSU rRNA
Rfam family: Bacterial small subunit ribosomal RNA
Source: RNAcentral